Mastomys coucha (southern multimammate mouse) is the source of this 227-nucleotide long non-coding RNA. RefSeq lists it as uncharacterized. The record is from RefSeq and is a predicted model, not a curated record. NCBI's taxonomy places the organism in Eukaryota, Metazoa, Chordata, Mammalia, Rodentia, Muridae. The transcript is spliced from 2 exons.
AGAAAAUACAAGUUCUUGUGUGCUGGUGUUUUGGGUUUGUAUGGUUUGAUGCAGGUAACCACAUCAGUGAGUCUGUGAGCUCAUGACUAGGCCAUGGCCUGAAAAGAGCGUUCCGCAGCCCUCUUCCACACUCCCCGGCUCUUACAGCCUCUUGUUCCAGUGUUCCCUGACCCUCAGGAUUGGGGAAGGAGGUACAAUUGAUAUAAAUGUCGAUGAUAUCAAUGGGA